AAAGCUGAUAGGUCACUUUCAAUUAGAACGUCGUGGCAGCGUGGAAAGUGAGACGGCGGUAGUACAAAUUAGUCCGGUGGCUCAAGAAGGAGACGAAGGGAGCCGUGCGCGCGAAAUUCAAUCUGUUUUUAUGAAUGUGCAGUAGUAGUGAGAGUAGCUUCUUGACUUGAAUAUAAAAAGUCAAAACUCCUUUCAUUUUGAUGAAG
Molecule: non-coding RNA, 206 nt
Organism: Caenorhabditis elegans
Lineage: Eukaryota; Metazoa; Nematoda; Chromadorea; Rhabditida; Rhabditidae
Source: Ensembl